AUUGAACGCUGGCGGCAUGCCUUACACAUGCAAGUCGAACGGCAGCACGGACUUCGGUCUGGUGGCGAGUGGCGAACGGGUGAGUAAUGUAUCGGAACGUACCUUUCAGUGGGGGAUAACGUAGCGAAAGUUACGCUAAUACCGCAUAUUCUGUGAGCAGGAAAGCAGGGGAUCGAAAGACCUUGCGCUGAUUGAGCGGCCGAUAUCAGAUUAGCUAGUUGGUGGGGUAAAGGCCUACCAAGGCGACGAUCUGUAGCGGGUCUGAGAGGAUGAUCCGCCACACUGGAACUGAGACACGGUCCAGACUCCUACGGGAGGCAGCAGUGGGGAAUUUUGGACAAUGGGGGCAACCCUGAUCCAGCCAUGCCGCGUGAGUGAAGAAGGCCUUCGGGUCGUAAAGCUCUUUCGGCCGGGAAGAAAUCGCAUAGGCUAAUACCCUGUGUGGAUGACGGUACCGGAAGAAGAAGCACCGGCUAACUACGUG
RNAcentral lists this ribosomal RNA (484 nucleotides) under uncultured bacterium. RNAcentral describes it as "partial 16S ribosomal RNA". It matches the Rfam family "Bacterial small subunit ribosomal RNA", at positions 30 to 507 of the family's 1533-position model. The record is from RNAcentral.